RNAcentral lists this ribosomal RNA (429 nucleotides) under Chloroflexota bacterium. Its description in RNAcentral is "Chloroflexi bacterium partial 16S ribosomal RNA". It matches the Rfam family "Bacterial small subunit ribosomal RNA", at positions 355 to 776 of the family's 1533-position model. The record is from RNAcentral. Lineage: Bacteria; Bacillati; Chloroflexota.
UGGGGAAUAUUGCACAAUGGGCGCAAGCCUGAUGCAGCCAUGCCGCGUGUGUGAAGAAGGCCUUCGGGUUGUAAAGCACUUUCAGCGGGGAGGAAGGCGAUAAGGUUAAUAACCUUGUCGAUUGACGUUACCCGCAGAAGAAGCACCGGCUAACUCCGUGCCAGCAGCCGCGGUAAUACGGAGGGUGCAAGCGUUAAUCGGAAUUACUGGGCGUAAAGCGCACGCAGGCGGUCUGUCAAGUCGGAUGUGAAAUCCCCGGGCUCAACCUGGGAACUGCAUUCGAAACUGGCAGGCUAGAGUCUUGUAGAGGGGGGUAGAAUUCCAGGUGUAGCGGUGAAAUGCGUAGAGAUCUGGAGGAAUACCGGUGGCGAAGGCGGCCCCCUGGGCAAAGACUGACGCUCAGGUGCGAAAGCGUGGGGAGCAAACAGG